RNAcentral lists this unclassified non-coding RNA (363 nucleotides) under Hevea brasiliensis (rubber tree). The record is from RNAcentral. Lineage: Eukaryota; Viridiplantae; Streptophyta; Magnoliopsida; Malpighiales; Euphorbiaceae.
AGCACACUUGCAACUGAGGUUACAGGCAAACUUGCAGCUUUGAAAGGGCUAGAUGCAAGGCUCCGUGAGAUACGCGACUAUCUCGAUUUCGUAGUUGAUGGAAAGCUUCCACUAAAUCAUGAAAUCCUUUACCAUUUACAGGAUGUCUUCAAUCUGCUUCCAAAUCUCAAUGUGAAUGAGCUUAUCAAGGCUUUUUCUGUGAAAACCAAUGACAUGAUGCUGGUCAUAUACCUAUCUUCCCUCAUACGCAGCGUCAUCGCUCUACACAAUUUGAUUAACAACAAAAUGUUGAACAAGGAGCACGAAAAAGCCGAAGAUGCUACACCUGUGGCCAUUGCAACUGCUAGUGGAAGCUAGAUGAUG